Molecule: ribosomal RNA, 441 nt
Filed under: uncultured bacterium
Lineage: Bacteria
Description: bacterial SSU rRNA
Rfam family: Bacterial small subunit ribosomal RNA
Source: RNAcentral
AACGCGAAGAACCUUACCAGGGCUUGACAUGGGCAAGACGCACGCAGAGAUGCGUGUUCCCGCAAGGGCUUGCCGCACAGGUGCUGCAUGGCUGUCGUCAGCUCGUGUCGUGAGAUGUUGGGUUAAGUCCCGCAACGAGCGCAACCCUCGCCUUCAGUUGCUACCAUUUAGUUGAGCACUCUGACGAAACCGCCUCGGAUAACGGGGAGGAAGGUGGGGAUGACGUCAAGUCCUCAUGGCCUUUAUGUCCAGGGCUACACACGUGCUACAAUGGCCGGUACAAACCGUCGCAAACCCGUGAGGGGGAGCUAAUCGGAAAAAGCCGUACCUCAGUUCGGAUUGCAGUCUGCAACUCGACUGCAUGAAGCUGGAAUCGCUAGUAAUCGCGGAUCAGAACGCCGCGGUGAAUACGUUCCCGGGCCUUGUACACACCGCUCGCGA